Labeo rohita (rohu) is the source of this 501-nucleotide non-coding RNA. NCBI's taxonomy places the organism in Eukaryota, Metazoa, Chordata, Actinopteri, Cypriniformes, Cyprinidae. The record is from the annotation of a RefSeq genome assembly.
AGAGGAGGGACUCAGUGUUCACAGAUCUGACAUGAUGUAAUUGUAUCUGACAGACUGUGGUUUAAAGGAUUCAGUCUGACUCUUCUCAGAGUGAACACUGGUACAAUGGAUCUUCAUUCAGUUAUUCUGUUCUGUGCCUUAGCUGCUGCUGUCUUUGGAAAUGACAUCAAACCAAACAAAACAGACAUUUUUGAGAAGGAGGGCUUGGAUAUCACAAUGUCCUGUAUUUAUUCCUCUUCAACUACAGAUACUCUCUACUGGUACCGUCAGUAUGGAAAAUCAAAACCUGAAUUUCUUGUACUCACCUACAGCAGUGCACAAGAUGCUAAGAAAUCUGAUGUAGAUCCAAGAUUCACUGUUAAAGUAGAAAAAAGGGAACAAAUCCAUGUGUAUCUGAAGAUCUCCUCUGCUGCUGUAUCAGACUCUGCUCUGUACUACUGUGCUCUGCAGCCCACAGUGACAGGAAACACAUCAGCUCUCUACAAAAACCUGUUACAAUGA